RNAcentral lists this ribosomal RNA (429 nucleotides) under Gemmatimonadota bacterium. Its description in RNAcentral is "Gemmatimonadetes bacterium partial 16S ribosomal RNA". It matches the Rfam family "Bacterial small subunit ribosomal RNA", at positions 355 to 776 of the family's 1533-position model. The record is from RNAcentral. Lineage: Bacteria; Pseudomonadati; Gemmatimonadota.
UAGGGAAUCUUCGGCAAUGGACGAAAGUCUGACCGAGCAACGCCGCGUGAGUGAAGAAGGUUUUCGGAUCGUAAAACUCUGUUGUUAGAGAAGAACAAGGACGUUAGUAACUGAACGUCCCCUGACGGUAUCUAACCAGAAAGCCACGGCUAACUACGUGCCAGCAGCCGCGGUAAUACGUAGGUGGCAAGCGUUGUCCGGAUUUAUUGGGCGUAAAGCGAGCGCAGGCGGUUUCUUAAGUCUGAUGUGAAAGCCCCCGGCUCAACCGGGGAGGGUCAUUGGAAACUGGGAGACUUGAGUGCAGAAGAGGAGAGUGGAAUUCCAUGUGUAGCGGUGAAAUGCGUAGAUAUAUGGAGGAAAACCAGUGGGGAAGGCGGCUCUCUGGUCUGUAACUGACGCUGAGGCUCGAAAGCGUGGGGAGCAAACAGG